Molecule: long non-coding RNA, 10141 nt
Filed under: Selaginella moellendorffii
Lineage: Eukaryota; Viridiplantae; Streptophyta; Lycopodiopsida; Selaginellales; Selaginellaceae
Description: long non-coding RNA (SMOE_LNC002127)
Source: RNAcentral
CUCUCUAUCGGCGCUCACGUUGUUGGAAACGUGAUGAUCGACCCCUCGGCGCGGAUUGGGUCGGGGUGCUUGAUCGGGCCCGACGUAGCAGUAGGACCGGAUUGCGUGAUCGAGGAGGGCGUGAGAUUGUCUCGGUGCACGGUGAUGCGAGGCGCCCAGAUCCGGAAGCACUCGUGCGUGUCCGGGAGUAUCAUCGGGUGGCACUCGAAGCUCGGGCAGUGGACGAGGAUUGAGAACAUGACCGUGUUGGGCGAGGAUGUCCAGGUGAAAGACGAGCUCUACAGCAAUGGAGGGGUGGUGUUGCCACACAAGGAGAUCAAAACCAGCAUUCUCAAGCCCGAGAUUGUCAUGUAGGAUUUGACGAAGAACACACACCGGAUGAUUUUUUAGAAGAUUGGUAUGUAUCGUGGAAAGAUGGUAACUUACGUAGCAUGUAUCUGUGUGUAGGGGGAUUUCAUGUGACGAACUAACGAAUAAACAAUGGUUUAGAUGGUUCAGAGCUGACAAUGAGAGAUUGGAAUUAAUUAUUGGGCAAGACAUUUUGGUUGGUGCAAACCAUCAAAAACAUGCUUUGUAGCGGUCUUUGACAGCUCAACCAUCUGCUGACACGGUAUCUUCACUCAAGAAAUAAAUGGAAGAAAUAGCGAGAAAAUGUUUAUAAACCUAAAAAGGAUUUGAGCAAAGAAUAAAAGUUUAUAAUGAAUCCCUGGCUUGAAUUUAUAGAAUCAAUGGCCCGGCUUAUGGCUUCCUCCAUAAAAGAAGCAUUGGAUUAGCCAGGAGUGGAAAUCCACUAUUUUCUACUAUUAAAUUGGUGUGGUUAGCAAUAUAUUUACAGAAAAAUUACUCCAUCCAUCACAUCCCAAUAGAACUAAAUUUCCAUCUUUUUGGAGUGUUUCUUUCUCAAACACUAAAUUGCAAUUAUACUCCAGAACUAGCUGGUAAAGGCCAUUUGAAGAAAUUAAAUGACCCCCUUCAUUUAUAACUGAUUGAAGUGUCUUUAUAUCUCUGCUAGUCAUGGAUGAAUGAUAUACAUUACAAUCAUUUGGAAUAGCUGGAACAGUUUCUCUAGCGUCAUUGUACAAAAGAUCAUUUUGAGAAUUUUUGUCAUUUGUAGUUAAUAUUUUGUAUGGUAAGCUGAAUAAUCAAUCUGUAUAUUACAUGCUGAAACCUAUACAAAACCAUAGUUCUAUAGUCAAAACUCUUGCAUAGUCCUUCUAGCAAAAGCUUAUUUGCAAAGGUGAUGGACACUACAACAUCCACUAGUUUCUCUUUUACACAUACCUGAACAAAUUUUGGACUGCCCCAUUAGCUUGGAGGGAUUUAAUCUCUGUGAAGUUUAGAAUCGUAUUCUCCACAUUUGCUGUCAGCUAACAAUUGGUCAUGGUUUCUUAAAGAUCUUAUAUGCCUAGUGUGGUCACUCCGCACAAAUUGGUGAUUGUGCAUUUUAAAGACAGGAAUGCCUUCUGUAAGUAGGCACGCCUCUUGACACAGGGCAUGUAUGUAUGCCCAUGCACAAUUGUCAUCCCACGAACUUCUAGAAGUAGUGGCAGAUUUGAAUGCUUUAGAUUGCGAUGUCUCACUUUUUUGUUCUUCCUGCUCACUUAACUGAAUAUGGAACACAUCUUAUAGGAUAUUAAUUCCAUUGGCUCCAAACUUUUAUUGCUAUUUCAAUAGAAAUUGUUAAUCAAAUAUUAUUCUCAAUAGUAGGACUUAUCUUUUUUGGACUGUUUAAUUGUAACACUACGGCAAUACUUUACUAGAAGUCUAGAAGUAAUAAAUAAAACAUUAAUUUCCUGAUAAGCAUCAUUUUCUUUUGAGUGCAUAUACUUCUCUAUUUUUCAGCAAGGAGAAUAAAUAGAGGAACUUGCUACAUACGCUUGGUUUGCUUGUGUACUUUAAAGAAUAUUAUAACAUAUACUUUUUUUACUUUUUUUUAACAGAAUGUACAAGAAAACCGGAUAAAGAUGUUAAUAAUAUAAUAAAAUAUUUAAUUUCUAUGUCUCACAUGUUCAGUUGCAACUUAAAAAAUAACCUAUGUAAUCAAACUUGACAUUCAAGUAGAAGGAUUUUAUUAUUAUCCAUAUUAAUGAGGUCAUUAACACUUCCUUUUUUUUAAAAAAAAUGAAAUAGUUUUCAUGGAGCAUCAAAAAGUCAUCAUGGUCAUAUUUUAUUACUUAUGAGAUCACAGCUCUUAGCAUCAUAUGAGGAUUACAAUUUCACUUCAUUCAAAUUGAAUUGAACUCUAGGGUAUUCUACCAUAUCAUUUUGCUUGAGUCAAGGACUAGCCAUUUGAGAUUCUUAUUUGGAAAAGAGUUGUCAAUUAUCCUAAAUAUUUAAUAAAAUUUCAUAAAGAUAAUAGAAAUAACACAAAGUCAUAUAUAUUUUACUAAUAUUGUGGCAACAUUAGCAUGAACUUAUAUUUAAACAUGAUCUUGAUGAAAAAUUAAUAUAUUAAUUAAAAUCACUCAUCCUCCAAAACAUCAUAGUUGUCAUUGCUAAUCAUAAGUUUAAUUGAAAAAAAAUAAUAAGAGGGAUUAAAUGAGUAGUUUAUGUGUUCUUAUUUUAAUCACAAAAUUAAAUUGAUUUUAACUAAAGCAAACUGUUGGCAGUGAAUAUGCCUAGAAUAUUCUUGAAUAUUCUGCAUCUAUUAUUAUUUAUUUAGAUUAAUCUUGUAUUAUAAUUUAUAAAUAUGUUUAUAAUUCAUAAAAACUUUUAAACACAUGAUUUAGAGGAUAUCUAGCUAAAAUUUCUUUUAACUAAGAUUAGUAAUAUUAAUUUAUAUUAAUACUCUAGAUAAAUUGCUGUGCAUUGCAUGUAGCAAUACUUAGUUUGCUUAAUAGUAGUUUUGUGACCAUUUUGUGAUCUCUUGUUGCACAUGAAGAGGUUCAUUGAAAAGAAAAAAUAAAAAUAGAUAAGUCACUUGCAUGAUAGUGCAUCAACUUUUUUUCUAUAUAGGGUGGGGUUUAAUGAAUGUUAUAAAGAGUUUGUAAUGUAAUAUGAGCCACGUCACUCUUUAGUGCUACAAUAGAUCCCCUCAUUGUGCAUUUUGAGGAUAAAGGUAACCAACCCACAACUCAUUCCAUUCCUUUUCUUUCUAAUCCCUCAAGUUGGAUCUCCUCAGGAAUUAGUAGUUAGUAAUAAAAGAAAACUAUGUUCUUACUAUGCUCCUAUUUUAUUCCUCUCCUAGUGGACCUUGUGACUAUGGAAAUCAUCUGAGUGUCAGCAUGCCCCUCUUCGCAUUUGCAGCACUUGUAAUGAGGUUUGCAAUAUGGGCAAUAGAUAAUCCCUUCAUCUGUCAUUGAACCUUAAGCCUCUCGUUUAGGGUCACUGAUAGCAAUGGCUGCAAGGUCACCUUGUGCACCACCAUACCCAUAACACAAAUCAAAAUAGAGAUCCAAGGCACAAGGCUACCAAGGAUGGGAAGACAACUGGUUCAGUACCAAUAGAAGACAACAGCCACAACAAGCACCUCAAAUAGGGAGCCAGAUCCAGGCACGACCAUGCUAGACACCCACAGCAUGUCAAAGGAAUAUACCACACUAGCCAGAUUAUAGAACCCACAUAAGUAGACCAAAAGACAGAGGGUAAACAUGAAAUCAACCAUUCAUCUAGUGGUGAGAACUAUGGGAAAGCAAACCAACACUCAUUGUGUCUAAGGUAUGCCAUGUGCUUAUACCUUCUGCUUGAGCUACACUCAGUUGAGGAAUGUAGAUGAGGUGAUCUUCAACAAACACUGUGUUGUUGUCAAUGACAGAAACCCUAUCCACUUCAAGGGCAUUGUGAAGCCCAUACCUCUCUAACUGCUUGUAAAUCUUCUCUACCAACAGCCCUGCUAGAGGAAUUCACACCUUGAUCACCUCUGUGCCAUCAUUGGCUUGCACAAUCAUUACCAUCGGCGCCAUAAACACAUCUAUAUCCUAGAAAGUGAACCCUAGAAUGGUGCUUCUAAUUAUGAUAAUUAUUAUUAUGAUUCAUUGCUACUCUAUCUUUUGCAUUCCUGCAUUUAUUGAUACCAUCAUCAAAUCAUUCUGUUAUUGUAUCACAACGUUGUUAGAAAGGUAAGGAAAUAGUGAAAUGUAAAUCUAUAAAUCUAUAAAUCUAUAAAUCUAUAGUUUAUUUUGAAGUUACAAAUUUAUCCCUACUAAUAAUAGAAUAAGUUAAUGUUCAUUUUAUUUUGGAUUUGAUGCAUUAAUAUAUAUAUAUUUUUAAUGACAUUUAUCGCUUGUUGAAGCUUUGAAACUUCGAUGGAGUUUUUUAGGGUAUUAGCUACUAUGAUACAGUUAAAAUUCUCAAUUUUAUUUUUGAAGCAUAAUACAAUACUUCCAAACUUGAAGUUCAAGUUAAUAAUCACUUAGAAGACUAUAGCAAUGUGUUAGCAAAGUAGGACUAUCAUUAAAAAUUGAAAACAUUAGAGUUUUUUAUAAGCAUAAAUCAAAUCCCUUUACACUGUGUGUGCAUAUUACACUCUUUAAACUUAGGAAGAUGAAUGGUCUCUAGGGUUGGAGGCUGUCUCUCAACACAGUUAAAAAAUGUAGCCUUUCAAUGUCUCCACUACUGCAUUGAUCUUGUGGUGCUACAUUUGCUUCAGCCUUCCCAAUAAACAAUGACCAAGCUUCAAAUGUUAUAGGGAAAGUCGACAUCAUUUCAACAAAAGCUCCAUCAUAGAAUUUAAUUAAAAAAGGUUGGGAAGGCUAUCUCCCACCAAUCCAAUCUACAUGGCCUACACAAGUUGUCCCCAUAUCUCUAAUGGUAGUGCUUGCAACUCUUAGUACCAACUUUCCCACCUCAAAAGAUAUUCCCCCUGCAGAUCCUUAUGCAGUGUUUUACACACCCUUUGCUGGUUGACACCCCUUUGCAUUUGUAGUUUAUUUCUUGCAGCAUCUACCACCCCAUGCUUUCUAUGGUUGGAUUUUCCCUAAAUUACUUAUUAAUCCAAUUGAUCCAAUAAAGGUUAUAAUUAUAAGCAUGUUUAUAAUUUAUAAACACAAGAUUCUUAUUGCAUAUCAACCAUUAGAUGAUAAAAUAAAAAAGAAUAUACUAGAAAGGGUUUAAGGAAGUUUAUAAAUUAUAAUCAUGUUUAUAAUUAUAAAUACAAAAUUAACUUAAAUGAAUAACAACUGUUAGAUGGUAAAAAAUCCUAGAAUAUCCAAGCUUAUUCUAGGUAUAUCCACUACCAAUAGGUUUGCUUAAGCAAACCACAAAAUUAAGAAUCUAGGUAUCUGAAGAGACUAGAGAGCUACUCUUGGAACCUACAAUAGUGCCAGUUCAAGGAGUACUAUGGAGCAAUGGUAGGUAAGCAAGUACAACUUUACUUUCAAGAAUGAUAGAACUUUUAAAUUACAUACUGACUUUGGUGUUAACAAGUGUAAAAAAGGAUUUCUAGCAUGGAAGAGAAGCCUUUGUGAACCACCCAAUGUUUGCUAGGCAAUUUCUAGUAGAAAAUUGUAAACACUUGCAAGUUUGGUGACAAUGUCAAUGUUGGAGAGGAGAGUUGGAAGAUAUUUAUUUCACUAGGUGAUGGCUAGAAGUUGUUGGUGGAGGUGGUCAUACACCCCAUAAUUAUAUAAGACAUGGAAAACAUCCUCAAUCUAUGUAAAACUACAAUCUAACAAAGACGAAGGUGGUGAGGGAUGUGAGGUCUAACUCACCAGCCCCAUUUGAAUAUGGAGAUGGUGAUUACUGCAUUUGUAAGCUGCAACCUUAGCCAAUACUCCAAAGCUUUUGACAUUCAUCAAUUUUUUGAAAUACCAACUCAAGGACAAGGCCAAGUUUAGCAGUCCAUUUCUUGAGUUCUACCCACCAACCUCCAUCCUGUUUGAACAUAAGACUGAUAGGUUGUAUAGAGAGUUUCAUUUUUAGAUUGCUGAGCCAAUACUAGGUUUUUACAUAGUUAAUUGUCAAGGGCCAUAGAUUGGACUCAAACAAGAUGAUUAAGUAUAACACAUCCUUUGUUGUAGCACACGUAGUUUUCACCCUUUAUCCUAUGCUAAUUUAGUAUAGAAUAACCACAAAGUGGAACCUAAACCCUUUAUGUGAUGUUAUGUGCCAAAUGCCAUGUGUCCCAAAGACAACGAAGUGGAACCCGAAUUUCAAAGCUUGGGCCAUUGAAUGAAAGAACAGAGCCAAACUCCCAAGCUUGCAACCAAGAAACGAAGAAACUGAAGCACAGAGUGACUCCUGAGUUUUCAGCCCAAAGAGCAAAGGGACAGAAGGAUAGAGUGACUUAGAAUAGUCCUAAAGCAUUUAACAUCCCAAUGUUAGAAAUACUCUACCAACUAGCAUGGUAUAGAACUUGGGUUUAAACCCAAGUCAAAUGUAAAAUAAGGACAGCCACACAAAUAAGAACUAAAUUAUACCUUAGGUUAGCUAGCUAUACCCAACCUAUCUGCUAUCUUUACUAUAUAUUUGGAACCCCACACCCCCAAUUGAGGAACACAUGUUUUAGUUUUUCACGUUUAGCCACCCUUAGUACUAAAAGGUAGUUUAUAGGAUUAACUCGAAACUUAUUAAAUAUGGAAUGGUGUUAGAUUGUGAAUUUGGACAUGGGAUGAACACCAUUAUAUUCACAACAAACUCUACAUUCAAUAAAUAUGCCAAAUUAGCAAAUCUAGAUGCUUUCCAUAAAUAGCAUUUGAGACUGAAUAGAAAUAACAUAAAGUCCAUGAUAGUGAGGGUGUUUGGCAGACAUGAUAAGUUAUCAUCUGACAAAUAUUAAGGGACUAAACUCAAUAUUGUAAAGGUUUCUAACACUAGCAAGUGCAAGUCAAUAAAUAAGUUUCUCUAAUCACGUCAAGUAUGCUUGACUAAUAGCACUUAGAAAUUCCACUUUUAUACUCAUUUGGUCAAGUGCACAUGCGAAGACUAGUUUCUCAACUAGCUUAAGCGGAGAUUGAAAAAGGUCCAGCAAUACCAACCUUUUGCUGUCAUGGUAGUAAGGAAAGAAUAUUCAAAAAGACUAGUUGAUAGAUAACUUUCGAUACCCACAGACACAUUUGUGACACUUGUAUGGAGUUCCUCCAUUUGAUUUCAAAGAAUGUUAGUCAUUCUUAGAGCUGACCUCCAUUGCAUACAAAGUAACUAUGGAGACCUUGGCUAUGAAGAAUUUCCACUUUACACUCUAGCUAGUGACAAGAGCAUGAAGUGAAAAGUAAACACCUCAUACUGCUAUAAUACAAUUUGCAAUCCCUGACUUUCAAGGAUUGUUCUUGUGAAAAACAUACCCCAAAUAUUUGUAACUCUCCACUUCCUAAAGUGUAGUGCCACAAUAAUAGCAUAUCCUAUCUUGCACUUGUCCUAACACCAUAACCUGUGUCUUGGUGAGAUUAACUUCCAUGCCGGUGGCAUCACAAAACUUGCUUAAUGCACCAAGUGUGUUUUGCAUUUAGUAGGCUGAGGGAGCCAAACAAAGUAUGUCAUCUAGUGAAUAUAGGCACAUUCCCAAAAGUUGGUAUGGCAUCAGUGUUCUUCCUUUGAUCAUGGAUUCAUUGCAUCAAUGUAAAUAGCGAAAAGCUUUGGCAACAAGGGGCAGCCAUGCUGGAAUCCAACCUGGUGGCCUAUCAAAGAUUUGUAGCUGCACAAUUCUAUAACAGCAGCAAUAAGUGGAGUGGGCAUUUGAAUUUCAAGCAAUCUUUGAAUAAGCAAAUGUCACGGCACUUGAUCAAAAGUUUUGACUAAGUUGACAUAGCCAAGGAAGACCACUCAAUUGCAUCUAAGUUAACAGAAGAGUGGAUAUAUUGGGCUUCAGCACAGCAACUUUGGAGGUCUGAUGGGAUCCAGUGCCAUAGUCAUUCAUCCCACCACUCGCAAAUCCCAAGGAUCCUCUACCCUAGAUAUCAUGUCAUUUAGGGUAAAAAGUGCUCUCCUAUAGUGCGUUAUAGCACCUAGCCACAGUUCUACAGAAGCAUAUAAAGGUGGCCAUUCAUCCUAGUUGCAGACGCUGCCCUUGGUCAUCAUCAUCCACACAAAUGGGGAGCGCCUAGGUCCUGGACACAGACACAUGUUGUGUUUCUGUCUUUUAUAGAAUAGCCCAAUAGCAAGUUGAGCUCAGCUGCACUGUGCCAAAAUCUUCUUAGCCGCAAGAAAAUCAAAUUCAAAAUCAUGGCUGUCCCUAAACCCUAAACGAGCUUAAAGUUUAUUUACUUUGUAAAACACAUCAAAUUCAUUGUAUGACAAAAAAGCAUUGGAACCUUCACCCUAAAAUGAUUUAUUUCUUAUUUUUAUUUUACUGUUUUUGUUCUGGUUUCUUAAGAUGUUGCUCUUAAUGCUAUUGAUGUUGUUUUCUAAUGGUACAACUUCUUUCAAGGAUAACUUCACUGUAAGAUUUAGAUCUUUCUGUUAAUCUUUCUCUAAGAUACAAACAGCUAUCACAUUAUGAACUCCCCAAAACAAAUAUUGAGGUAAGUCUUGUAGCUUAAAUAAAAUCCUUGAAAAAUUGCAUAAUUUAUGCCUAGAAACUUGGUUUAGAGCAAUUAAAAGGUAUUCACAAGGUAAAAGCUAUAAGAAAGUAAAACUUUCACAUGUUUAUUAAAUAUGUAUUCAUAGUAUGCAUUAGGAAGUUUGGUUGGAAACUUUACUGGAGUGACCUCUACACUUAGUGUACAAAAUCCCAAAGUUACAGGGGAUGGACAAUCUAUAUCACAAAUAUGGAUUAGCGAUAGUAGCAAAAGAGGAAUUCUUGAGGCUGGCUGGCACGUAUGUGAUGUUCUACAUUUAGUAAUUAUAAUAUAUUAAAAAACGUUUUCAGGUUUAUCCAAUGGUCAGCUCAGGACAUUGCCUGUUUAUCUACUGGACGGUAAUCCAAUUCUCUUUUUUAAUUUUUUUGAUAAAUAUGUUAUUGGAAACAGGCUGAUCGAUAUCAAAGCACCGGAUGUUUCAAUCUCCAAUGUAAAGGUUUUGUGCAAGUAGACACUAAAGUUGUUCUUGGAGGAGUGAUAUCCCAGAGAGAAAUAUCACUUGCCAUCUCUCAGGUAUUAAGGACAAAAAUCUCUAGCUUUUAAUGGAGUUUUCAAUUUCUAGGACAAGAAAACCCAGAAUUGGUGGCUCUUGGUCGAUGGCAAGCGCAUUGGUUACUGGCCUUCAUCGCUACUAAAAUCACUCCAACAAGGUGCAAGCUUUGUCGCAGCUGGAGGCGAGGUUGCAACAUUGAAUGGUAAAGCCAUCUUGCAAAUGGGGAGUGGAAAGUUUCCAAGUUCUGGGAAGGGAUUUGCUGCAUACCAUAGAAACAUAAGAGUUUCGGAUGCUAAUCACGUUAUCCAUGAUGCAAGGCUUCAGACAACACUGAUCAACACAAAUCAAGCUUGCUAUGGUAUUGGAAACAUUCAGUAUAAUCCUCAGUGGGGGUCACAUUUCUUCUUUGGUGGACCUGGCUGUUCUUAAACCCGCAAAAUGUUGUUAAAAUAAUAAUGCCAUGGGAACUUAAAUAAGAGAAUGGCGGCAUUUCUCAUCAAAUCUUACCCAAUGCAUGGGAGUUGCGCCAGUGAGCCAGAAGGAGUUCUAUUGGAUCAAGCAGCAGCUUCGAUGGGCAGGCAACACUGGAGAUUUGGGUCACGGCAGACGUCUCAUCCAUGGCACUGGCCUCCGAUACAACCGCUUUCUCUCCAAUCUCAUCAUCCAGAUGUACGGCAAGUGCCGGAGCAUCAAAGACACUCCGAUUGAUUGCGCUCAUGGAUUUCUACUCGAUGAUCACUACAUUUGCCUUGAGCGGGCAUCUGCGAGACUUGGCAACCUGAUCUUCGCUUCUUAGGUGGUGGUGGUCAUGGACGAUGCGUACAGAGAUUCGUAGAAAAGCCUCAAAUAUUCGUGGGCAACACUUGAAUCUCCACAAAUGGUCCACUGGAUUGAGCUAGAGGAGAUCUUUCCUGCCAUCGCCGCGGCUCUUCGCAAUGGUUCUCCUGGGACUUUGGAUGGACAUUGGCCAGCCAAGGCUACGCUUGUACGCUGAGUCCAUCCGCGGCAAAUCGCCGGAGAAGCUCUCCAGCGGCCCUCACGUUGUUGAAAACGUGAUGAUCGACCCCUCGGCGCGGAUUGGGUCGGGGGCUUGAUAGGGCCCGACGUAGCAGUAGGACCGGAUUGCGUGAUCGAGGAGGGCGUGAGAUUGUCUCGGUGCACGGUGAUGCGAGGCGCCCAGAUCCGGAAGCACUCG